AACGAACGCUGGCGGCAUGCCUAACACAUGCAAGUCGAACGAGACCUUCGGGUCUAGUGGCGCACGGGUGCGUAACGCGUGGGAACCUGCCCUUAGGUUCGGAAUAACUCCCCGACAGGGGUGCUAAUACCGGACAAUGUCUUCGGACCAAAGAUUUAUCGCCUUUGGAUGGGCACGCGUUGGAUUAGCUAGUUGGUAGGGUAAAAGCCUACCAAGGCGACGAUCCAUAGCUGGUCUGAGAGGAUGAUCAGCCACACUGGGACUGAGACACGGCCCAGACUCCUACGGGAGGCGGCAGUGGGGAAUAUUGGACAAUGGGCGAAAGCCUGAUGCAGCAAUGCCGCGUGAGUGAUGAAGGCCUUAGGGUUGUAAAGCUCUUUUACCCGGGAUGGUAAUGACAGUACCGGGAGAAUAAGCUCCGGCUAACUCCGUG
RNAcentral lists this ribosomal RNA (433 nucleotides) under uncultured bacterium. RNAcentral's name for it is "partial 16S ribosomal RNA". It matches the Rfam family "Bacterial small subunit ribosomal RNA", at positions 29 to 507 of the family's 1533-position model. The record is from RNAcentral.